GAUGAACGCUAGCUACAGGCUUAACACAUGCAAGUCGAGGGGAAACGACAUCGAAAGCUUGCUUUUGAUGGGCGUCGACCGGCGCACGGGUGAGUAACGCGUAUCCAACCUGCCCACCACUUGGGGAUAACCUUGCGAAAGUAAGACUAAUACCCAAUGAUAUCCCACGAAGACAUCUGAAUGGGAUUAAAGAUUUAUCGGUGAUGGAUGGGGAUGCGUCUGAUUAGCUUGUUGGCGGGGUAACGGCCCACCAAGGCAACGAUCAGUAGGGGUUCUGAGAGGAAGGUCCCCCACAUGGGAACUGAGACACGGUCCAAACUCCUACGGGAGGCAGCAGUGAGGAAUAUUGGUCAAUGGGCGAGAGCCUGAACCAGCCAAGUAGCGUGCAGGAAGACGGCCCUAUGGGUUGUAAACUGCUUUUAUAAGGGAAUAAAGUGGGUCACGUGUGACUUUUUGCAUGUACCUUAUGAAUAAGGACCGGCUAAUUCCGUG
This 492-nucleotide ribosomal RNA is filed under the name uncultured bacterium. RNAcentral describes it as "partial 16S ribosomal RNA". It matches the Rfam family "Bacterial small subunit ribosomal RNA", at positions 28 to 507 of the family's 1533-position model. The record is from RNAcentral.